GGCGGUCUGAAUCCAGACAGGUAAAGGACUGAAGUGCCUGGAAACCGAUGUCUUGUAAUACCUGUACGGCCAAGCAGAUGUCAGCAGUUGAAGUUGAAAUUUUAAAUCACCUGUACGCCAGCGGGAGUGCUGUGGGCCAACCUCCCAGGCCCGCGCUUCAGUGCUGGGGGGCGCGCCCUCCCCGCCCCCCGAAGAACUCUGUGCCAGGGGAAUGAAAAAGCAUCCUCUCUUCUCGCCUCCAACGCGCAGCACUGGGCCCAUUUCCUCCCGGGGAAGUGGGUUUCAGAGCAUCGCAGACUCCUCCCCAGGUAGCGGCAUUUGCUACCCGGUGGAGCACAGCUCAGCUCCUGAACCAUGCACUCCGGUGGAGCAGCUAGAGAGCAGGGAGUCCUGGUUUAGUUGUGAAACAAGGCAGUCUCUGGCUCACCCUAGGCUGUGCACACGGGGCUUUCAUUUCUGGAAACCAGACGGAGCCCUUCUCCUACUCNCCCCCCCCCCCCCCCGCUUCCCUUUUGUACGUGUGGCCUCUCCCUCCCGCACGCUGACCAGGGCCCGCACACACGGCCUCCGACCAACACCGACUGCCCGGAUCCCGCAGGUUGCGAACUCCUGCGGCGCUCCCCUGAGAGCCAAGUGUCAAGGAGCCGGGGCCACCCGAGGAACGCUGUGAAUGCCCCGGGCGUGGCGAGCAGUCGCGGGCUCGGGGGCGGCCCCGGCCUCCAGCAAGCCGUCGUGGGGCUCCGGCUCCUGGGCUGCCUGCGAGCACGGUGCGCCGGGGACAGCCGCUCCGGACGGCCACCGCGUCCUGGCGGACCUCCCCGGGCGGCUCGUGCUUCCCUGCCCUUCACUCGCAGGUCGCUCCAUCCUCGCAGCCUACCCAGGCACAGCGCGGCCGGCGCCUCAGCCCCGCUCCUCUGGGCUCCACCGGCCCGCUAGGUGGUGCUUCCCGAGCAGGGCAACGGGCGCGCCCCCCCUCGGCCGGCGUGGAGGGGGCCGGCGUGGAUGGGAGCGGCCGGUGCUCAGGCGCCGAGCGCACGGCGCAGCGGCGGGGCCCGCGCGGCCCCCGAGGCCCUCGAGGCCAGGCC
RNAcentral lists this long non-coding RNA (1085 nucleotides) under Vulpes vulpes (red fox). RNAcentral's name for it is "lncRNA (ENSVVUG00000001552.1)". Lineage: Eukaryota; Metazoa; Chordata; Mammalia; Carnivora; Canidae. The record is from RNAcentral.